UAACCUGCCCCUGACUCUGGGAUAAGCGUUGGAAACGACGUCUAAUACUGGAUAUGACUGCCGGCCGCAUGGUCUGGUGGUGGAAAGAUUUUUUGGUUGGGGAUGGACUCGCGGCCUAUCAGCUUGUUGGUGAGGUAAUGGCUCACCAAGGCGACGACGGGUAGCCGGCCUGAGAGGGUGACCGGCCACACUGGGACUGAGACACGGCCCANACUCCUACGGGAGGCAGCAGUGGGGAAUAUUGCACAAUGGGCGAAAGCCUGAUGCAGCAACGCCGCGUGAGGGAUGACGGCCUUCGGGUUGUAAACCUCUUUUAGUAGGGAAGAAGCGAAAGUGACGGUACCUGCAGAAAAAGCACCGGCUAACUACGUGCCAGCAGCCGCGGUAAUAC
Molecule: ribosomal RNA, 391 nt
Filed under: Bacterium PE_IPMFB28
Lineage: Bacteria
Description: bacterial SSU rRNA
Rfam family: Bacterial small subunit ribosomal RNA
Source: RNAcentral